This is a non-coding RNA of Oncorhynchus mykiss (rainbow trout), 226 nucleotides long. The record is from RefSeq and is a predicted model, not a curated record. NCBI's taxonomy places the organism in Eukaryota, Metazoa, Chordata, Actinopteri, Salmoniformes, Salmonidae.
AAAGUGGUUAUAACUGUAUUUUAUGCUGAAAAUUGUCCAAGGUGUUCCUACUAUCUCAAUUGUGGACAUUUUCUUUGCAAUUGCAUCAAACAUGUGUUUUAGACCUUGUUCUGAGAAAAGUGGUUAUAACUGUAUUUUAUGCUGAAAAUUGUCCAAGGUGUUCCUACUAUCUCAAUUGUGGACAUUUUCUUUGCAAUUGCAUCAAACAUGUGUUUUAGACCUUGUU